ACCAUCCAAACUGAUUCCUGGAGUGUCAAAGUUAUCAAUGGCUUCAGGAACCCCAGUGAAUGCUCACAUUAGAAUCAGAUGUUCAAUAGAAUUCACAAAGGAUUAGAAAAACAUCCCUAAUAUGUCAAAGUUCAGAGGAGUCUCAUGGACCCUAAGUAGUUCUCACACUGGGGGUAACAUGACCUAGACAGCUAAGAGUAAGAGUUUGAAAAUAGUAUACGAAGGUAGGGGAUAGUUUUAUGAAGAAAACAAAGUUUGUUUUCAGAAGUGAAGAAUUGUACAAACACAAUCCAUACUCGGCACAUGGUUCAUGCAGGUUAUUUAUUUAUAAUGGAUAUUUAUAUUAUUGAUCACAAAAUCUACGGCACUUGAAUCAAUAGACAAAAUUAGCCGCAUAUUAGUUAUAUGCUUGCAGUAUCCAGCCGUGUUUACAACAGACAACAUACAACAAGUUUAGACAAGGUUUCACAUUAUUAGACAUAACUUAGUUUAUUAAUUAUCAAUAGGUGAAUCACAUAGAUAUAUAUUGGAUAGAAGCAUUCUGAAGUUAAAAUGACAAAUCAAACAGUCAUAUAGAAGAGGGUGAGGUAUCAGGAAUUAAACAUGCUAGUUUCAUAAACAAGCAAACAAAAAUCAUGUAUCCAACAGGAACACGCUAGGGUAAACUAACAAUAGUAGCAUGUAGAAUAGGAAAGAAAUUAAGGCAUACUAGUUAAGAGAGAAAUAAGAAGGAGACAAAACGAUGUUGUUGUCUAUAGUGAAUUGGCUACAUAGCAUAUAGAAUAGAACAAGGUAAUAGAAAUUAAAGCAUACUAGUUAAGAGAGCAUUAAAUAAGAAACAGAAGGGCAAACAAAAUCAUAUUGAAGUAAGACUACAUAGCAUAUAGAAGAUACCAUGAUAACAGAAAUGGAGGCAUACCAUUUAAGGGGAUAGAAAAUAGGAAGGCGAAGAUGAAUGAAAUUCAAGGGUCUAACCUUGAUUUUUAGCCGGCUAGAUAGUGUAACAAAUCAAAGAGAUGUGGGUGUGUAAGUGCAAAUCAGUGUGCGCUUGUAAGUAUGGGUAUCUGAGUUUGAGCGUGUGUAUUUAAAAAUCAGAGCAAUGGAGGAUUUAUAGCAUAUAGUAGAGUAAGACCAAAUAAGGUAGGAGAAUAAAUGUUAACACCAAUGAGGCAAAGAGAUCAAUCAAUCAGUCAAUUAAGGCUUAACAUGAAUUAAUUAAUAGGCAGAAUCCUGAAGGUAUUAAUUAAAUUAACACGGAAUAAAUCGCCAACUGAGAUUGAGAUCUAAUAAGGUAAAUAGUAGGUCCAUAUGUCAAUUAAAAGUCAGAACACAAAAUUGGGCCAGUAGAAAAGGUAAUUACUCAUAUAAAUAAGAUAAGCAGGUAAAAUCUUAAUAAGGGGAUGCGGGUACUAAAUUCAAGCCCUAAUUUGGGUAAUAAAAUCAAUUAACACUAAUUGACAGGGCUAAAGGUAAACGGGCAAAAGACAGCAGGAUAAACAUUCAAAUAAUCAAGAACCCUAGAAAAUACAAAGACAUAUACAUGGAGCUUGAUCAAAUCAAGUAAAAUCAGUCAGAGACUAAAUAAGAGAGUCAGAGAUAAGAACAUUUAACGCUAAAAAACAUUUUUUGCAGAAAUCUCUUAGAAAUCAAAACCCUGGGUACUUGAGUAAACGAAAUCGAUCAAUAACAAUAGUAAGAACAAAGAAUCUCAAAGGAGAAAUAACAAACAAACACAAAAUCAUUUUAGAUCUAAAGAGAUCUAGACAGAUUCAACUAGAAAAAUACCUAGGUUCAUAAAAGGACAUAAGCAAAUCAAAUCUGGUUUGAACAGAAUAUUUGAAACCCACAAAAUACGAAUAUACUCAUACUCACAAGUAUUAGAGUAAACACAUAUGGAAUAAUCGAGAACGAAGAGACUUUGAACCAGAUUUGGUUUGAGUCUCUUGAGAUUCUCAUCAAACAGCGUAGAAAUCAUAUAACUAGUAGAGAUAGGAGACUAGAUAAAGCUCAACAUCGAAGAAAAGCCCCCAUAGAUUGUAGGAGUUCAGGUGACGGCGAGUUAAGGUUAGGAAAAAGCUGAGAGAGAAUAGAGGAGGAGAGGAUUCAGAGG
RNAcentral lists this long non-coding RNA (2110 nucleotides) under Nicotiana benthamiana. Its description in RNAcentral is "long non-coding RNA (NBEN_LNC024583)". Lineage: Eukaryota; Viridiplantae; Streptophyta; Magnoliopsida; Solanales; Solanaceae. The record is from RNAcentral.